Hyla sarda is the source of this 2467-nucleotide long non-coding RNA. RefSeq lists it as uncharacterized. NCBI's taxonomy places the organism in Eukaryota, Metazoa, Chordata, Amphibia, Anura, Hylidae. The record is from RefSeq and is a predicted model, not a curated record. The transcript has 4 exons.
GUUGAAAAUGAAAGAAGUGAUCUGAUUGGUUGCUAUGGGCAACUCAGCAACUUUUCCUCUGGACAGGUUUUGACAAAUCUCCCCCAUAAUGUUGAGGGUCCUCGCUGAACAUGUGCUCCUCACAAGAUUUCUGACACAGAAGUAAAAAGAAUGAUUAGAAGAGUUGUCCAAGAGCCAAGGACACUUGUUGAGAGCUUCAAAAAGACCUAGAAUAAGCAGUUAUUGCAGCAAAGGAGGGUUUUGAAGAAUCCAAAAAAUACUAAAGACAAAGCCAACUAAUCCAACAUCUGUUGGAGACAUCUGUGGAGCGGCCACCUGCCACCAGAAGAGAACCUGCGAGAUCUACUGUACUGUCAGAGAGCAACCACGGAUGGACAACUGAGAAAAGAGGCCACAAAAAAGAAGAUUCUAAAUAAAAUAGUGAACUAAACAUUCAGAGCAUCUCUCCCAUGAUGUAUAUAUUUACAUAGUAUAUAUUUACAUGUAACUAUGUAACUAUGUAAAUAUAUACAUCAUGGGAGAGAGGCUCUGAAUGUUUAGUUUUGUUGCAAUAGAUUUUCUUCUCCUUCUUCUGUUUAUUCAAAUUUUUACUCAUUCAUUUGAAAUUACUCUCACUAGUUUUUCUUUCCAACAAUAAAUAGUAAAUUACCAUUUCCUCCUGUCCUCAUACCUCCAAGCCACCCCGCCCCCACAAGAAAAAAAAAUGAAUGUAUAGAAAACCAAAUUAAAUAAUUUCAUUUAAUUUUCCUCUUACCUACCUUAUCUUUGCUUUACCUUGACUAUUUCUCAACUAUUUCUUUAAUAUAGUAUUUCCAGCAAAAGCAACCUUUAGCUACCUCUCCCAAAUGUCACUGAAUAGUGUACAAUCAAAAUGAGCAAUAUUAUACAACUCUACAUUCUUAUGUUAAAGGAGACCAGUGGCUAUUCCAAAAUAAAAAAGAGAUUUUACUGUCAUUAAAUAACGUAGGGUGCCCUGAUCACACACCUUUUCUUUUUUUUUUUUCUUUUUAUAGUUUCUUGAUACACAAUUCUGUCCCUGAAAUAUGAGGGUUUAUAGUUCGUAUGACAAUUCAGGAAUUCAUGGGUAUGAACUUAAUUUUAGCGAUGGGAGUAACCAUACAAUGGGCUAGGUUAUACAGUAAGGGGGUGUUUUAUGCAUACAUGCCCCUCAAUGUACAACAUUAAAAACCCCUGACUGUAUAAUCCCACCUAUCACCUGAUAAGCUAUUUAAUGACUCAAUUUAUUUGGCUUCGCCAUAGGUCCUCUUUAAACUAUAGCUAUCUUUUUAACCCAAGAUCUUAGUUUUAUUUUUUCAUAUUUUUGACAUUCUGUAUUUUAUUCCAUACUUAAUUAACCUCUUUUCUUUACUGACUAAAUCAAAUGUAUUAAAUAAGCUUGAGUCGCUUGAUUUUCCAAAUAUGUUGAUUCAACCCCAUUUCUGUCCCAUUUUAAAUGUACAAUUUACUGACUCUAAAAAUUGAGUGUUCCUAUACGCCUUAGGUUCCUCUAUUGACUAUCUAUCACAGGCACUAGAUCUACUUCCCAUUUUCUCUUACUAUCAUACUUUAUGUACUUACUAUAUACCUCUAAUAACUCUUUAUAUCUCCUGUGUGAUUUUUAAUUUGAUGUAAGACUUUCACCACUUGUGAUUAAUUCUCUUACCCAUUCAUCCUUUACAUAACUCUGAAUAUCUAGAAUACAUAUAGUUUGAAACUAAACUUCUGCUCCUUUCAGGCUGGGGCCACAAUGAAUGGAUACCUGGAUUUCUCGUGACUCCUGGGUCGCAGUCACUUGAUUUCUGGUGUAGCCAAAAUUGCUGUGUCCCCCGGCCAUGUUUUAUGUUGGAUCUCCCAUGGUGUCUGUGGUCACGUGUAAAUUUGAAGUCAUGGCCGAGCUCAUACAUGACCUCGCCACUAUUAUAUACAUUGUUUGACACAUGAUCACCACAUGGCCACUAAUAAUCAGAUGUGGCAAUGUGCAAAUAUAGUAUCAGAUCUAUAGAUUAUGUGGUGAUCACAUUACAUCUAUACAAUGUACGGGUUAAAGAGGAGACCAUGUGCAGAACUCAAUACACUGUAUGGGCUGGAGUGAAGGUAUGAAUGGUCUCAAUGAACACAUUCAGCUUUGGGAGCUUUCACAACAUAAAGGGAGCAAAUAUUUUAAUGCAAAUUUAUUCGCAAGUUAGAUUAUAUGUAGUAACGGAGCCAACUGUGAUUCUGUUAAAAAAAUACUACGGAUGCACCGAUGCAGCCAGGGACCCGCCGGUAAUGGUGGACAUCAGCAAUCGAGCUGAUAUCCGCUAUUAACCCCUCAGAUGCCAUGAUCAAUAUUCAUCAUGGCAUCUGCGGCAGUUCCGGUGGCUGAUCUGAUCGCCCGCGGCAAUAUAAAUCAAUAUAUUUGGUAUUGUCGGGUGUGGAAAUGUCUGGUCUAUAAAAACAUUAUGUUAAUGAUCCUGUACAGUGAACA